This 77-nucleotide transfer RNA is filed under the name Ammoniphilus oxalaticus. Its description in RNAcentral is "tRNA-Arg". It matches the Rfam family "tRNA". Rfam says of the family: Transfer RNA (tRNA) molecules are approximately 80 nucleotides in length. Their secondary structure includes four short double-helical elements and three loops (D, anti-codon, and T loops). The record is from RNAcentral. Lineage: Bacteria; Bacillati; Bacillota; Bacilli; Caryophanales; Paenibacillaceae.
GUCCCAGUAGCUCAGUUGGAUAGAGCAACGGCCUUCUAAGCCGUGAGUCGGGAGUUCGAAUCUCUUCUGGGACGCCA